GACGAACGCUGGCGGCGUGCUUAACACAUGCAAGUCGAACGGUGAUGCUCCAGCUUGCUGGAGUGGAUCAGUGGCGAACGGGUGAGUAACACGUGAGCAACCUGCCCCAGACUCUGGAAUAAGCGCUGGAAACGGCGUCUAAUACUGGAUACGAAACUGGCCCGCAUGGGCAUGGUUUGGAAAGUUUUUCGGUUUGGGAUGGGCUCGCGGCCUAUCAGCUUGUUGGUGAGGUAAUGGCUCACCAAGGCGACGACGGGUAGCCGGCCUGAGAGGGCGACCGGCCACACUGGGACUGAGACACGGCCCAGACUCCUACGGGAGGCAGCAGUGGGGAAUAUUGCACAAUGGGCGAAAGCCUGAUGCAGCGACGCCGCGUGAGGGAUGACGGCCUUCGGGUUGUAAACCUCUUUCAGCAGGGAAGAAGCGAAAGUGACGGUACCUGCAGAAGAAGCACCGGCUAACUACGUG
RNAcentral lists this ribosomal RNA (468 nucleotides) under uncultured bacterium. Its description in RNAcentral is "partial 16S ribosomal RNA". It matches the Rfam family "Bacterial small subunit ribosomal RNA", at positions 28 to 507 of the family's 1533-position model. The record is from RNAcentral.